This 71-nucleotide transfer RNA is filed under the name Elusimicrobia bacterium RIFOXYA1_FULL_47_7. RNAcentral's name for it is "tRNA-Gln". It matches the Rfam family "tRNA". From Rfam's summary of the family: Transfer RNA (tRNA) molecules are approximately 80 nucleotides in length. Their secondary structure includes four short double-helical elements and three loops (D, anti-codon, and T loops). RNAcentral also lists the same sequence under 6 other names. The record is from RNAcentral. Lineage: Bacteria; Pseudomonadati; Elusimicrobiota.
UGCCCCGUGGUGUAACGGUAACACAAGCGCCUCUGGAGCGCUAUUUCAAGGUUCAAAUCCUUGCGGGGCAG